CAGGUGCCUAAUUUCGUGAUAUGACCGAAAGUGCUGAGUACUAGUUUAUCAUAAAUGGUUUAAAAAAAAAACCUUUUUUGUCUUGGAAAUGAUAAGAUUUGCUCUUAUACAAAAUCGUUCUGGAAAAACACGAAUGGCUAAAUGGCUUAUUGCUUAUACUGAAGACGAGAAAACCAAAGUUAUAGAGGAAGUACACGCUUUAGUUACAAUUCGAGAGUCGGGGUUUACUAAUUUUAUAGAGUACCGCAAUUUUAAGAUUGUGUACAAAAAGUAUGCUGGGCUGUAUUUCUGCUUUUGCGUGGAUGUCACCGACAGCAAUUAUACCUGUUUAUACGCAAUUCGAAAUUUUGUGGAGGUUUUGGAUCUCUAUUUUAAUAAAGUUUGCGAAUUGGAUUUGGUGUUUAAUUUCUGGAAGGUUUAUCUCAUCUUCGACGAAAUGUUUUUGGGAGGAGAGCUUGUAGAAAUCGACAUCGGACCUUUUGUUAG
Zophobas morio is the source of this 486-nucleotide long non-coding RNA. RefSeq lists it as uncharacterized. Lineage: Eukaryota; Metazoa; Arthropoda; Insecta; Coleoptera; Tenebrionidae. The transcript is spliced from 4 exons. The record is from RefSeq and is a predicted model, not a curated record.